Molecule: ribosomal RNA, 2570 nt
Filed under: human gut metagenome
Description: bacterial LSU rRNA
Rfam family: Bacterial large subunit ribosomal RNA
Source: RNAcentral
AGGGCGUAUGGGGAAUGCCUAGGCACACUCCGGCGAAGAAGGACGCAGCAAACAGCGAAAUGCGACGGUGAGCGGUAAGCACGUGAAGAGCCGUCGAUAUCCGAAUGGGGGAACCCACACGGAGUCAUAUCCGUGUAUCACAUGUCGAAUACAUAGACAUGAUGAGGCGAGACGCAGGGAACUGAAACAUCUAAGUACCUGCAGGAAGAGAAAAUAAGAAUGAUUUUCUGAGUAGCGGCGAGCGAAAGGGAAAGAGCCCAAACCGAUCUGAGGAUCGGGGUAGUAGGAUCAUCGAUAAAUCAAACAGAGGAUCAUAGAGGAAUCACAUGGGAAGGUGAGCGAGAGAGGGUGAGAGCCCCGUACUCGAAAUGAGAGACUGGAGAGAGAUGACACCUGAGUAGGGCGGGACACGAGAAAUCCUGUCUGAAUCAGCCGGGACCAUCCGGCAAGGCUAAAUACGAGAGAGUGACCGAUAGUGAACCAGUACCGUGAGGGAAAGGUGAAAAGAACCCCGGGAGGGGAGUGAAAGAGAACCUGAAACCAUAUGCCUACAAGAAGUCAGAGCCCGUUAAAGGGUGAUGGCGUGCCUUUUGUAGAAUGAACCGGCGAGUUACUGUAUGGAGCGAGGUUAAGCAGGAUAUGCGGAGCCGAAGCGAAAGCGAGUCUUAAGAGGGCGCGAGUUGCAUGCAGUAGACCCGAAACCGGGUGAUCUAGCCAUGACCAGGUUGAAGUUGGGGUAAAACCCGAUGGAGGACCGAACCGACCCCCGUUGAAACGUUGGCGGAUGAGUUGUGGCUAGGGGUGAAAUUCCAAUCGAACCCGGAGAUAGCUGGUUCUCCCCGAAAUAGCUUUAGGGCUAGCGUCGAGAGAAGAGUUGCGUGAAGGUAGAGCACUGAAUAUGUGAUGGCCCCAUCUCGGGGUACUGAGCAUAAUCAAACUGCGAAUGUCACGCCAACAUGCUCGGCAGUCAGACAGCGGGUGAUAAGGUCCGUUGUCAAGAGGGAAACAGCCCAGACCAUCAGCUAAGGUCCCAAAAUGUAUGCUAAGUGGAAAAGGAUGUGGAGAUGUACAGACAACUAGGAGGUUGGCUCAGAAGCAGCCAUCCUUUAAAGAGUGCGUAACAGCUCACUAGUCGAAUGACUCUGCGCCGAUAAUUUACCGGGGCUAAGCAUACUACCGAAGCUAUGGAUCCCAAGGGAUGGUAGGGGAGCGUUCCAUGAACGGAGAAGUACGACCGAAAGGACGUGUGGAGAUCAUGGAAGAGAGAAUGCCGGUGUGAGUAGCGGAACGUGGGUGAGAAUCCCACGCACCGAAAACCCAAGGUUUCCAGAGGAAGGUUCGUCCGCUCUGGGUAAGUCGGGACCUAAGGCGAGGCCGAAAGGCGUAGUCGAUGGACAACAGGUAGAGAUUCCUGUACCCGUAUAUAUGUGAAGGAAUGACGGAGAGAGGAAGCUGCAGCCAGCGGCUGGAAGAGCUGGUGCAAGCGAGAUAUCGGGAUGGCAGGCAAAUCCACCAUCCGAAACGAGAAGGCGUGAAGCGUACGGAAAGCUACGGCGAGUACGGAAGGCAGUGGAGGAACUUCCAAGAAAAGUUUCUAACGUUAAGUAUAUAUGGCCCGUACCGAAAAUGGACACACAUGGGUGAGGAGAGAAUCCUAAGGUGAGCGAGAGAACUAUAGCUAAGGAACUCUGCAAAAUGACUCCGUAACUUAGGGAGAAGGAGUGCUCAUAGAGAUAUGAGCCGCAGUGAAACGGCCCAAGCGACUGUUUACCAAAAACACAGCUCUCUGCUAAGCCGCAAGGCGAAGUAUAGGGGGUGACGCCUGCCCGGUGCUGGAAGGUUAAGGGGAGGGGUUAACGCAAGUGAAGCCCUGAACUGAAGCCCCAGUAAACGGCGGCCGUAACUAUAACGGUCCUAAGGUAGCGAAAUUCCUUGUCAGGUAAGUUCUGACCCGCACGAAAGGUGUAACGAUUUGAGCACUGUCUCGACAACACGCCCGGUGAAAUUGAAGAACCAGUGAAGAUACUGGUUACCCGCAACAGGACGGAAAGACCCCAUGGAGCUUUACUGCAGCUUAAUAUUGGGAUUCGGUAUUGUAUGUACAGGAUAGGAGGGAGACUAAGAAGCUAGCACGCCAGUGUUGGUGGAGUCGAUGGUGUCCAGACAGAGCAGGCGGCUCCCCACCAGACAGCCGGCCAGGUGGCCGGACAGCUCCCCCUCCCGCACCCGGUCGGGGGCGGACUCCAGGCGGUAGCCCCGGUUGGGGGCGGAGGAGAUCACAUACCCCUCCUGCCGCAGGGCCUCAAUGGCCUUCCACACCGCCGCCCGGCUGAUGCCCAGCGUCCGGCUCAUGGCCUCUCCUGACACAUAAGAAUCCCCCUGUUCCAGCAGAAGGGACAGUAUUUUUUCCCGGCUCAUUCCACGCCGCCUCCCGGUCCUCGUUUUUCUCCAUUAUAAUGCGUACUGAACAAACCGCAAGGGCGGUUUCUUCGGCAAGCAAGAAAACAGAGAGACUGUAGGGAGAUGGUCGGGCCGUGAACGCCGAGUAUAUUACCAGCCGGAAAAAUCCG